AUGCUCGACUUCCGACAAUUCUGAGAGGAUUUCUCGAUCCUCGGUAGCGUGGUGCGCGGACUCCUGGGCUUUGAUAUCUCUUUCAGAGGGGUCUUUUGCACUCCCUCGUAUCGGGUUUGGCGUAUCAGAGUUGAGUUGUUGUUCGGGUCUGUAUUCAUUCGCUCCAUCAACCGGGUCGUACGCGCUAUCAUCUGACCAAGUCCACUCUUCCGCGUGAACGGAAACAGUGCUCCUUCUGUGUACGGCAGUGGGCGGACACACUGACCUUUUCUCAGGGCUGUCCACGCCUGAGGUAUUGAUGCCUGCAAGGCGUUCUUGGCCGUUUUGAUUAAAGUCCGCGCCUCCGGGCUGAGAAGCGAGCCGAUCUCGCGGGCUUUGUGUGAGGCAGUCAGCAGCCGGCCCAAAACUCGAUGCACGCCUGGGCUGGGUGGAGCGAACCGCGUCCGACGGUUCGUUAGGUUCAACGAGCUGCCACUGACUGUCGGGCGCUAGGGCCUCAUCCUUAAGUGCGAAAUCCGCACUUUUCAGAUCGUGCACUGACUGACGCUGCGCUACCUCUUCUACAAAUUCCCUUAUUUUCGACAAAAGCUCUGUCCUCAAAGGCUGUGGAAGCUUACCUACGGUUUCAGCUUCGCUCACGUCGCGCUCUAACGCCUCCCACAGCAACCUUUCGUGGUCGCCUGAGGUUCCUGUGCGGUCUGUUCCACCAAGUUGCACCAGUCGUGGGUCCGUCUCGCCCGAGUGCGACGCCCGCACCGACCAGGAGCCACGGCCUCUACGCCACGACAGCUUCCGGGUCCGCUCGCAGCGAAGAGGCCUCCCUUUAGGAGACGCCGUCCAACUCCAUAGCUUGCCGUUGAGCGGAAACGCGCCACUUUGCAAGAAAGCAACCAUGCGCCCGUCAACAAAGCCACACAACUUUCACAAACGCUCAGUGAAACGAAAACUUUCUCUCGGCCGUGUUGGAUAAAUUCAUACCAACGCGCAGGCGCCUUACGGCCUAUUUUGACUGGCCCGCUGCUAUCGUCUUCAGCUACUUGUACACUUCGACCCUGAUAGGCUGCACGACAAAGUUGGAUCGCGUCAGCUCCUGGGGUCUCUUCUCCAGCACCGCACAUUUCCUGAUAUUGGUGGCGGCGUUGAAGUCUCGAUUCACCGACUCUUUCCAGCAUUGCCGCUGGCUGUACUCAAAUAUGCAAGGAUUCCCCGAACUCGUGCCCUCCGUUCCAUUUGCUCUUCUGUCCGCUCUCCGGACUUUUCUGUCUCCGAAACGCUCGGCUGGCUUCUGUCCGUAUCGACCUUCUGAAGUGUACACUCCAGCCCAUCGAGCACGUACGCUAUUCGGAACUCAUGUAUCGAUAUUGUGACAAAACGCAGUGCGCACUCCAUGUCCGCUCGUGCCGAUAGAGCUCGUAUGCUCCCUUUUUUGGACGCCCAGUUCCCUGCUCCGUGUGCCAAUAAAAGCCUUUGACUCUUGUCCUCCUUGAGGGCGGUCAACAGAUUAAGGAAGUCGGCGAGUGCGUGCUGCUUCAGUCUGUACAGGUUCAUACGCUGACGAGCCCAACGCGGCUUUGUGUACUCUUUCCGCAGCUCCUCGUAAUGAGCAGCUUGGGUUUCCAUGAAUUCCGGAAAAACUCGAAAGUACACUCCGCGGAGCGUUACAUUGCUGAUCGCUUCCAGAUGCUCCUUUACUCCUGAGUUCCAUAUCUCAAUUAGUUUCCUCGCAUUAAAUACCCCAGAAUCUCUGUAAUAUUUCGCUCUCGAUAGCUUUAAAAGA
This is an RNA transcript of Cyanidioschyzon merolae strain 10D, 1777 nucleotides long. RefSeq lists it as hypothetical. The record is from RefSeq and is a predicted model, not a curated record. NCBI's taxonomy places the organism in Eukaryota, Rhodophyta, Bangiophyceae, Cyanidiales, Cyanidiaceae. The transcript has a single exon.